UACGGGGGGGGCAAGCGUUGUUCGGAAUUACUGGGCGUAAAGGGCUCGUAGGCGGCCAACUAAGUCAGACGUGAAAUCCCUCAGCUUAACUGGGGAACUGCGUGUGAUACUGGAUGGCUUGGAUUUGGGAGAGGGAUGCGGAAUUCCAGGUGUAGCGGUGAAAUGCGUAGAUAUCUGGAGGAACACCGGUGGCGAAGGCGGCAUCCUGGACCGAUAUUGACGCUGAGGAGCGAAAGCCAGGGGAGCAAACGGG
This 253-nucleotide ribosomal RNA is filed under the name uncultured bacterium. RNAcentral describes it as "partial 16S ribosomal RNA". It matches the Rfam family "Bacterial small subunit ribosomal RNA", at positions 524 to 776 of the family's 1533-position model. The record is from RNAcentral.